GAUGAACGCUGGCGGCGUGCCUAAUACAUGCAAGUCGAGCGAACAGACGAGGAGCUUGCUCCUCUGACGUUAGCGGCGGACGGGUGAGUAACACGUGGAUAACCUACCUAUCAGACUGGGAUAACUUCGGGAAACCGGAGCUAAUACCGGAUAAUAUAUUGAACCGCAUGGUUCAAUGGUGAAAGACGGUUUUGCUGGCACUUAUAGAUGGAUCCGCGCCGCAUUAUAUAGUUGGUAAGGUAACGGCUUACCAAGGCAACGAUGCGUAGCCGACCUGAGAGGGGGAUAGGCGACACUGGAGCUGAGACACGGUCCAGACUCCUACGGGAGGCAGCAGUAGGGAAUCUUCCGCAAUGGGCGAAAGCCUGACGGAGCAACGCCGCGUGAGUGAUGAAGGUCUUCGGUUCGUAAAACUCUGUUAUUAGGGAAGAACAAAUGUGUACGUAACUAUGCACGUCUUGACGGUACCUAAUCAGAAAGCAACGGCUAACUACGUG
This 497-nucleotide ribosomal RNA is filed under the name uncultured bacterium. Its description in RNAcentral is "partial 16S ribosomal RNA". It matches the Rfam family "Bacterial small subunit ribosomal RNA", at positions 28 to 507 of the family's 1533-position model. The record is from RNAcentral.